Molecule: ribosomal RNA, 591 nt
Filed under: Salmonella enterica subsp. enterica serovar Oranienburg
Lineage: Bacteria; Pseudomonadati; Pseudomonadota; Gammaproteobacteria; Enterobacterales; Enterobacteriaceae
Description: partial 23S ribosomal RNA
Rfam family: Bacterial large subunit ribosomal RNA
Source: RNAcentral
GGGUUGUGAGGUUAAGCGACUAAGCGUACACGGUGGAUGCCCUGGCAGUCAGAGGCGAUGAAGGGCGUGCUAAUCUGCGAUAAGCGCCGGUAAGGUGAUAUGAACCGUUAUAACCGGCGAUACCCGAAUGGGGAAACCCAGUGUGACUCGUCACACUAUCAUUAACUGAAUCCAUAGGUUAAUGAGGCGAACCGGGGGAACUGAAACAUCUAAGUACCCCGAGGAAAAGAAAUCAACCGAGAUUCCCCCAGUAGCGGCGAGCGAACGGGGAGGAGCCCAGAGCCUGAAUCAGCAUGUGUGUUAGUGGAAGCGUCUGGAAAGGCGCGCGAUACAGGGUGACAGCCCCGUACACAAAAGCGCAUGUGCUGUGAGCUCGAUGAGUAGGGCGGGACACGUGGUAUCCUGUCUGAAUAUGGGGGGACCAUCCUCCAAGGCUAAAUACUCCUGACUGACCGAUAGUGAACCAGUACCGUGAGGGAAAGGCGAAAAGAACCCCGGCGAGGGGAGUGAAAAAGAACCUGAAACCGUGUACGUACAAGCAGUGGGAGCCCCACCACUAAGCCAGUGGUGAACUCCACAUACGCAUCCUUU